RNAcentral lists this transfer RNA (126 nucleotides) under Fulvia fulva CBS 131901. Its description in RNAcentral is "tRNA-Val (TAC) (tRNA-Val-TAC-1-1)". It matches the Rfam family "tRNA". From Rfam's summary of the family: Transfer RNA (tRNA) molecules are approximately 80 nucleotides in length. The record is from RNAcentral. Lineage: Eukaryota; Fungi; Ascomycota; Dothideomycetes; Mycosphaerellales; Mycosphaerellaceae.
GGUUUCAUAGUCUAGUGGUUAUGACGUUUCCUUUACACGGAAAAGGUCGGGGGUGUAAGUGCUCAUAUUAAUGUCGCCGCCGCUAUCAAUUACUAAUUCUGCCUCAGUCGAAACCCCCUGAGACCU